Molecule: long non-coding RNA, 939 nt
Organism: Canis lupus familiaris (dog)
Lineage: Eukaryota; Metazoa; Chordata; Mammalia; Carnivora; Canidae
Exons: 2
Source: RefSeq, a predicted model, not a curated record
UUUUGCAACAGUUUCUCUAUUAUUGUACUUAUAUUUUUAUAGAUUUACUGACAUAGAUCUCCUUAGGAAACAGAUAUCUGGAGAUACUGUUUGUAAUGGUCACAUGAUAUAUCACUGUAAGGAAGCAUCUAACCCAUAUUCCCUUAUUUGACUGAGAAAACAACUGAGAUUCAAAGAAUAGAAGAGAGUGACCACAAAUCACACAGCAGCCUAGACCUGGUCUAGGCAGCCCAGCAUGCCUGCUGCCGGGACUUCUCUACCUGGAAUAGAUUAAAGCCAUCAGGAAGGGUCUUUCAGGAGACAUGCGUCUGAUGGAAGCCUUCCUAGCCAACUCCCGACCCACUUUGUGACCACAGCAUCCGGACAUGAUCACUCUUCACUUAUGACUUUCGUGUGAACCUCUCGGCUCUUCACCCGCAACUUGUUGACCUGGGACUCGGCAAUGUCAGCCCGCUCCUCAGCCUCCUCCAGCUCAUGCUGGAGCUUGCGGAAUUUAGAUAGAUUUGUGUUGGAUUGUUCCUCCUGAGAAUAAAAAUGGAAUUGUAAGGAACCCGUACUACACAUCUUUCUAGACUCUGCAGUCUUAAGUGCAGAAAGGACUUGGCAUCUACAAAGAACUUAAAAUACUCAGCAGGGAAUAUUGUUGUCUUGCCACCUCCUGGAUUUUGGUUGUCAUUAAAGUGAACAUUAUGAUUUGUUGGGGCUCGGUGUCCCAUAAAUAAUUGCAUCCUUAUUUUUGCAAUGAAAACAUAUUAAAAGCUAUGCACCACAAGCAAGAAAAAAUAAAAGAGCAGAGAAGACAAGAGUACUGAAAUCAUUCUUCUCGUUAAUGCUAGCUAUAAGAUGACUGUAAGCUCAAGUUCUAUGUCAUGUUAAGGAUAACUUUCUUAACAGUCUCUUUAUAUUGAAAUAAAUGUUGAAUUCUAUAAUACCAUGUUA